GAGUACCACACCUUACACACCUUGAAGAACCCUGCAUGAAGAACCCUGCAGAGGUGAUCCCUGGCAGAAGAAAUGGCUUUGCAUAUCUAAGCAAGAAUUCAGGACAUUACCCUGCUAGACAGAGGGGCACAUGGAUCACUGUACAGGCCUCUGAAGCCUUGUUGUGGUUUAACCCCAGCUGGCAAACAGGCACCACACUGCUGCUUGCUCACUUUCCCCCCUGGAAUGGAGAGAAAUGGAAGAGCAAAAGUGAGAAAACUCAUUGUUUGAGGUGUUCAGCCAUCACCAGGAAAGUUGGGCUCCAGCACGCAUAACAGAGGCCCAAUGCUACACACAAAAGGAGUGGCAAGUGAGACAUACCAUAAACAGGCAGAGCAGAAGCAGGAAAUACUGAAUGCCACAGGACUGAAGCUACAAAGACUCUUUUAAAAGAGGAACUGGUUAAAAUAAGGCCAAAUUCUAACUCUCAGCUAUGAAGCAAA
Vidua macroura (Pin-tailed whydah) is the source of this 482-nucleotide long non-coding RNA. RefSeq lists it as uncharacterized. The record is from RefSeq and is a predicted model, not a curated record. The transcript is spliced from 5 exons. NCBI's taxonomy places the organism in Eukaryota, Metazoa, Chordata, Aves, Passeriformes, Viduidae.